RNAcentral lists this unclassified non-coding RNA (343 nucleotides) under soil metagenome. RNAcentral's name for it is "partial contains 5.8S ribosomal RNA, internal transcribed spacer 2, and large subunit ribosomal RNA". The stretch from base 1 to 120 matches the Rfam family "5.8S ribosomal RNA", at positions 35 to 154 of the family's 154-position model. The record is from RNAcentral.
GAUGAAGAACGUAGCGAAAUGCGAUAAGUAAUGUGAAUUGCAGAAUUCAGUGAAUCAUCGAAUCUUUGAACGCACAUUGCGCCCGCUAGUAUUCUGGCGGGCAUGCCUGUCCGAGCGUCAUUUCAACCCUCGAGCCCCCGGGCUUGGUGUUGGGGAUCGGCGAGCCUCCGCGCCCGCCGUCCCCUAAAUCUAGUGGCGGUCUCGCUGUAGCUUCCUCUGCGUAGUAGCACACCUCGCACUGGGAAACAGCGCGGCCACGCCGUUAAACCCCCAACUUCUGAACGUUUGACCUCGGAUCAGGUAGGAAUACCCGCUGAACUUAAGCAUAUCAAUAAGCGGAGGA